UUUAUUGUAGUUGAGUUACAACGGUGGUUUUUCGAGCCACAGGUCUUAGUUUUAAAGUCUAAGCAGUAAUG
This 71-nucleotide transfer RNA is filed under the name Lepidophyma flavimaculatum (yellow-spotted night lizard). RNAcentral describes it as "tRNA-Glu". It matches the Rfam family "tRNA". From Rfam's summary of the family: Transfer RNA (tRNA) molecules are approximately 80 nucleotides in length. Lineage: Eukaryota; Metazoa; Chordata; Lepidosauria; Squamata; Xantusiidae. The record is from RNAcentral.